CAAGCAAAACGAAGCCCAACGAAAGCAGCUGGAACCCAAACAAACAGACUUGGGUGUUGAUCCAAACAGCACAUCCUGCAUGCUGGUCUCAGAGUCUGCUUCCUGGUACCCAACCUAUGACUCAGUAAAUGUUAGCUGCCAUCGUCAUCAUCCAAAAGCAUCCUAGGUGGAAGCAAUGUCACUCCCGAGAUGGCCGCCCAAUGGUGACACUCAUUAUGUCCAAGAAACAU
This is a long non-coding RNA of Balaenoptera musculus (blue whale), 230 nucleotides long. RefSeq lists it as uncharacterized. The transcript is spliced from 3 exons. Lineage: Eukaryota; Metazoa; Chordata; Mammalia; Artiodactyla; Balaenopteridae. The record is from RefSeq and is a predicted model, not a curated record.